Molecule: small nuclear RNA, 114 nt
Filed under: Chinchilla lanigera (long-tailed chinchilla)
Lineage: Eukaryota; Metazoa; Chordata; Mammalia; Rodentia; Chinchillidae
Description: U4 spliceosomal RNA (ENSCLAG00000021088.1)
Rfam family: U4 spliceosomal RNA
About the family: U4 small nuclear RNA (U4 snRNA) is a component of the major U2-dependent spliceosome.
Source: RNAcentral
AGCUUUGCGUAGUGGCAGUAUCGUAGCCAAUGAGGUUUAUCCGAGGUGCAAUUAUUGCUAAUUAAAAAUACAAUAAAAUAUUCAUUCUGACAAAGAAAGGACAUUUACAGAAAU